This 480-nucleotide ribosomal RNA is filed under the name uncultured bacterium. RNAcentral's name for it is "bacterial SSU rRNA". It matches the Rfam family "Bacterial small subunit ribosomal RNA", at positions 26 to 518 of the family's 1533-position model. The record is from RNAcentral.
GGCUCGAGGACGAACGCUGGCGGCGUGCCUAACACAUGCAAGUCGAGCGAUGAAAUCCUUCGGGAUGGAUUAGCGGCGGACGGGUGAGUAACACGUGGGUAACCUGCCUUGUAGAGGGGGAUAGCCUUCCGAAAGGAAGAUUAAUACCGCAUAACAUCUUUUUAUCGCAUGGUAGAAAGAUCAAAGGAGUAAUCCGCUACAAGAUGGACCCGCGGCGCAUUAGCUAGUUGGUGAGGUAACGGCUCACCAAGGCGACGAUGCGUAGCCGACCUGAGAGGGUGAUCGGCCACAUUGGAACUGAGACACGGUCCAGACUCCUACGGGAGGCAGCAGUGGGGAAUAUUGCGCAAUGGGGGGAAACCCUGACGCAGCAACGCCGCGUGAAUGAAGAAGGCCUUAGGGUUGUAAAGUUCUGUUUACGGGGACGAUAAUGACGGUACCCGUGGAGGAAGCCACGGCUAACUACGUGCCAGCCGCCGC